Lycium barbarum (goji berry) is the source of this 1986-nucleotide RNA transcript. It is a transcript of the gene named triose phosphate/phosphate translocator, non-green plastid, chloroplastic-like, with no coding region annotated. The transcript has 15 exons. The record is from RefSeq and is a predicted model, not a curated record. NCBI's taxonomy places the organism in Eukaryota, Viridiplantae, Streptophyta, Magnoliopsida, Solanales, Solanaceae.
AAUACGCCUCCCUCACCCUCACCCUCACCCACACCCACACCCCUCUAAAAUUUCCGAUCUACUUUCGCCAAAGUGCUUUUGCCAAAAUGCAAAGCACAUCAAUCUCAUUUUCUCCAUCAAUUUCAAAUCCUACCUCUCUUUCGCCUUCCCAUGUUAUGUAUCGAUAUGGUUCAGUUAAUUUUUUCAAAACACAUCCUAAACUUAAGUACUGUUCCAUUAACUUUUCUUCUUCAAAGUUGAAUGGAACAGGAUCAUGGGUUUCAGUUCCUUCUCGUGAACCGGAUGGAGCAUUAUCGGUUCGGGCCACGUCAGUGGUCGAAACCACCGGAGAGGCAACUAAACCAGUGGGGGAGACUUUGUAUCUUGGAUUGCUUUUCGCCCUUUGGUAUAUAUUUAAUAUAUACUUCAACAUUUAUAACAAGCAGGUGCUGAAAGCAUUCCAUUACCCAGUUACAAUGACACUUGUGCAACUUGUUGUUGGCACUGCCCUCAUUAUUUUCAUGUGGACGUUCAAUCUGUACAAACGGCCAAAAAUCAAUGGUGCACAGCUUGCUGCAAUUUUUCCAUUGGCAGUGGUGCAUACGCUGGGCAACCUUUUCACCAACAUGAGUCUUGGAAAAGUUUCUGUAUCAUUCACGCACACUAUUAAAGCUCUGGAGCCCUUCUUCUCAGUUGUCCUCUCUGCUAUGUUUUUAGGGGAGUUCCCUACAGUAUGGGUUAUUUCUUCCCUUGUACCAAUUGUUGGUGGAGUGGGACUGGCAUCUCUGACUGAAGUGUCAUUUAACUGGGCAGGCUUUUGGAGUGCAAUGGCCUCUAACUUAGCCAAUCAAUCCCGUAAUGUUCUCAGCAAAAAGAUUAUGGUUAAGAAGGAGGACUCAUUGGAUAAUAUAAAUCUCUACUCAAUAAUCACAAUCAUGUCAUUAAUCUUGGUGGCCCCGUUUGCCUUUUUCAUGGAAGGCAUUAAGUUCACCCCUGCAUACCUUGAAUCUGCUGGUUUGAAUGUGAACCAGAUAUACACAAGGACUCUCCUUGCAUCUCUUUGCUUUCAUGCUUAUCAGCAGAUUUCAUACAUGAUACUGGAGAAGGUAUCUCCUGUUACCCAUUCUGUGGGUAAUUGUGUGAAGCGAGUGGUGGUCAUUGUGUCUUCUGUUCUCUUUUUCAGCACGCCUGUCUCCCCAAUUAACGCUAUCGGCACUGGAGUGGCACUUGCUGGAGUUUUCUUGUAUUCAAGAGUGAAGGGGAUCAAACCUAAGCCAAAGACAGCUUGAAGGAAAAGCAGGGAAAUGGCUGAAGCUGCACUACUCAAAGUUGUCACAGAACGGGUUCUGACUAAAUUAAUCCAGCUAUCUGCAGACGAGACUUUGAUCAUUCGGAAGCUAUUCGGGAGGGAAAGGCUUUGCAUUGAUGUUUGUGGCACCUGUUCAGCCUUCGAGAGUUGUUUCCAGGUUGGUGGGCGAGACCUCGUGAUAGAUCCCGAGGAUAUCAUAGAGAUGUUUGGAAAUGCAGGGUAAGACUGCAUGCAAUGCACCCUUGUGGUUGGGCUCUUCCCUGGAUCCCGCGCAUUGCGGAAGCUUAGUGCAUCGGGCUGCCCCUCUUUAUGAGUGUUGUGUGGCUAUAACAGGUUCUCAUUAAGCCACUGAAGGGUUGAGAGGGAAGUAAAUGGAGGAAGUACUAUCCAUAAAGAAUACGGAGAUAGCAAAACAUCUAUCUCUUCCACCUGUUAAACUGCAUUGCAGUAUGCUCCCGGAGGAUGCAAUAAAGGCUGCUGUGAAAGAUUACAAGACAAAGCAGACAAAAUUGAGUGAUGAUGCAAAUGAAAUGGAGAAAGCAGCUGAUGCUUGAGAUACUUGUUGCAAGAAAUGAAGUGCUUCCGAGAAAUGAAAUUGAGGAGGAAGAACAAGAAUGCUUGUAUAUGUAACGUUCUUUCGGUUUUGUAACUGUAAAGUUGGCCAUUUGAUGCGUUUAUCUUGAAAUUUCUGCUGCUUG